Molecule: ribosomal RNA, 2896 nt
Filed under: Pseudomonas vancouverensis
Lineage: Bacteria; Pseudomonadati; Pseudomonadota; Gammaproteobacteria; Pseudomonadales; Pseudomonadaceae
Description: bacterial LSU rRNA
Rfam family: Bacterial large subunit ribosomal RNA
Source: RNAcentral
UAUGGUCAAGUGAAGAAGCGCAUACGGUGGAUGCCUUGGCAGUCAGAGGCGAUGAAAGACGUGGUAGCCUGCGAAAAGCUUCGGGGAGUCGGCAAACAGACUUUGAUCCGGAGAUGUCUGAAUGGGGGAACCCAGCCAUCAUAAGAUGGUUAUCUUGUACUGAAUACAUAGGUGCAAGAGGCGAACCAGGGGAACUGAAACAUCUAAGUACCCUGAGGAAAAGAAAUCAACCGAGAUUCCCUUAGUAGUGGCGAGCGAACGGGGACUAGCCCUUAAGUGGCUUUGAGAUUAGCGGAACGCUCUGGAAAGUGCGGCCAUAGUGGGUGAUAGCCCUGUACGCGAAAAUCUCUUAGUCAUGAAAUCGAGUAGGACGGAGCACGAGAAACUUUGUCUGAAUAUGGGGGGACCAUCCUCCAAGGCUAAAUACUACUGACUGACCGAUAGUGAACUAGUACCGUGAGGGAAAGGCGAAAAGAACCCCGGAGAGGGGAGUGAAAUAGAUCCUGAAACCGUAUGCGUACAAGCAGUGGGAGCAGACUUUGUUCUGUGACUGCGUACCUUUUGUAUAAUGGGUCAGCGACUUAUUUUCAGUGGCGAGCUUAACCGAAUAGGGGAGGCGUAGCGAAAGCGAGUCUUAAUAGGGCGUCUAGUCGCUGGGAAUAGACCCGAAACCGGGCGAUCUAUCCAUGGGCAGGUUGAAGGUUAGGUAACACUGACUGGAGGACCGAACCGACUACCGUUGAAAAGUUAGCGGAUGACCUGUGGAUCGGAGUGAAAGGCUAAUCAAGCUCGGAGAUAGCUGGUUCUCCUCGAAAGCUAUUUAGGUAGCGCCUCAUGUAUCACUGUAGGGGGUAGAGCACUGUUUCGGCUAGGGGGUCAUCCCGACUUACCAAACCGAUGCAAACUCCGAAUACCUACAAGUGCCGAGCAUGGGAGACACACGGCGGGUGCUAACGUCCGUCGUGAAAAGGGAAACAACCCAGACCGUCAGCUAAGGUCCCAAAGUUAUGGUUAAGUGGGAAACGAUGUGGGAAGGCUUAGACAGCUAGGAGGUUGGCUUAGAAGCAGCCACCCUUUAAAGAAAGCGUAAUAGCUCACUAGUCGAGUCGGCCUGCGCGGAAGAUGUAACGGGGCUCAAACCAUACACCGAAGCUACGGGUAUCACGUAAGUGAUGCGGUAGAGGAGCGUUCUGUAAGCCUGUGAAGGUGAGUUGAGAAGCUUGCUGGAGGUAUCAGAAGUGCGAAUGCUGACAUGAGUAACGACAAUGGGUGUGAAAAACACCCACGCCGAAAGACCAAGGUUUCCUGCGCAACGUUAAUCGACGCAGGGUUAGUCGGUCCCUAAGGCGAGGCUGAAAAGCGUAGUCGAUGGAAAACAGGUUAAUAUUCCUGUACUUCUGGUUAUUGCGAUGGAGGGACGGAGAAGGCUAGGCCAGCUUGGCGUUGGUUGUCCAAGUUUAAGGUGGUAGGCUGGAAUCUUAGGUAAAUCCGGGAUUCUAAGGCCGAGAGCUGAUGACGAGUUACCCUUUGGGUGACGAAGUGGUUGAUGCCAUGCUUCCAAGAAAAGCUUCUAAGCUUCAGAUAACCAGGAACCGUACCCCAAACCGACACAGGUGGUUGGGUAGAGAAUACCAAGGCGCUUGAGAGAACUCGGGUGAAGGAACUAGGCAAAAUGGCACCGUAACUUCGGGAGAAGGUGCGCCGGUGAGGGUGAAGCACUUGCUGCGUAAGCCCACGCCGGUCGAAGAUACCAGGCCGCUGCGACUGUUUAUUAAAAACACAGCACUCUGCAAACACGAAAGUGGACGUAUAGGGUGUGACGCCUGCCCGGUGCCGGAAGGUUAAUUGAUGGGGUUAGCUAACGCGAAGCUCUUGAUCGAAGCCCCGGUAAACGGCGGCCGUAACUAUAACGGUCCUAAGGUAGCGAAAUUCCUUGUCGGGUAAGUUCCGACCUGCACGAAUGGCGUAACGAUGGCGGCGCUGUCUCCACCCGAGACUCAGUGAAAUUGAAAUCGCUGUGAAGAUGCAGUGUAUCCGCGGCUAGACGGAAAGACCCCGUGAACCUUUACUAUAGCUUUGCACUGGACUUUGAAUUUGCUUGUGUAGGAUAGGUGGGAGGCUUUGAAGCGUGGACGCCAGUUCGCGUGGAGCCAUCCUUGAAAUACCACCCUGGCAACUUUGAGGUUCUAACUCAGGUCCGUUAUCCGGAUCGAGGACAGUGUAUGGUGGGUAGUUUGACUGGGGCGGUCUCCUCCUAAAGAGUAACGGAGGAGUACGAAGGUGCGCUCAGACCGGUCGGAAAUCGGUCGUAGAGUAUAAAGGCAAAAGCGCGCUUGACUGCGAGACAGACACGUCGAGCAGGUACGAAAGUAGGUCUUAGUGAUCCGGUGGUUCUGUAUGGAAGGGCCAUCGCUCAACGGAUAAAAGGUACUCCGGGGAUAACAGGCUGAUACCGCCCAAGAGUUCAUAUCGACGGCGGUGUUUGGCACCUCGAUGUCGGCUCAUCACAUCCUGGGGCUGAAGCCGGUCCCAAGGGUAUGGCUGUUCGCCAUUUAAAGUGGUACGCGAGCUGGGUUUAGAACGUCGUGAGACAGUUCGGUCCCUAUCUGCCGUGGACGUUUGAGAUUUGAGAGGGGCUGCUCCUAGUACGAGAGGACCGGAGUGGACGAACCUCUGGUGUUCCGGUUGUCACGCCAGUGGCAUUGCCGGGUAGCUAUGUUCGGAAUAGAUAACCGCUGAAAGCAUCUAAGCGGGAAACUAGCCUCAAGAUGAGAUCUCACUGGAACCUUGAGUUCCCUGAAGGGCCGUCGAAGACUACGACGUUGAUAGGUUGGGUGUGUAAGCGCUGUGAGGCGUUGAGCUAACCAAUACUAAUUGCCCGUGAGGCUUGACCAUA